This 545-nucleotide long non-coding RNA is filed under the name Salvia miltiorrhiza (redroot sage). RNAcentral's name for it is "long non-coding RNA (SMIL_LNC004460)". Lineage: Eukaryota; Viridiplantae; Streptophyta; Magnoliopsida; Lamiales; Lamiaceae. The record is from RNAcentral.
AUUUAAACCAACGACAAUCAGCCAACCAACAGUCAUUUUCAAGGUAUUAAUUCAAUACCAAAUAUUCAAUCCAGUUGUAUGCAUAUCAAAGCAUGAUCAGUAUAUAAUGAUAGAAAACAUUGUUGCAUAAUGGACAUAGCAAUCAACUAAAGUCAGUUUUUUAUGUGUUAUUCAUGAGUUAGACAAUGAGGACUUUCGAAAUAGAAACAAACCACUAUGGCUAGUUUUACCCACUGCAUAAUCGAAUUAUAGAAAUACUAGAGCUCAAUAGAAUCAUGAACUGAGUUACAACAAGCUUUGAGUUUCGUUCACAAUAGAGUAUUAAGAAUGAACUUAGCUUCGAAUGGAAAAGGGCGCAGCCUGUUCGGUCGAGCCAUGAAGCGAUGAUUGGGCGACGGCUCAAGGGGAUCCAAGCGCCAACCGUGAAUCACGGCGACGUGCAGAGGCACGCCGGACUCGUGCGCAGCAGCGGCGGUUCCAAGGACAGCAGCGUUGACGGCGUCGAGCGGUGAAAGGUAGAAGACUCCCGACCUCGGCGAUGGCUC